This 427-nucleotide ribosomal RNA is filed under the name uncultured bacterium. RNAcentral's name for it is "partial 16S ribosomal RNA". It matches the Rfam family "Bacterial small subunit ribosomal RNA", at positions 355 to 774 of the family's 1533-position model. The record is from RNAcentral.
UGGGGAAUAUUGGACAAUGGGCGAAAGCCUGAUCCAGCCAUGCCGCGUGUGUGAAGAAGGUCUUCGGAUUGUAAAGCACUUUAAGUUGGGAGGAAGGGCAGUUACCUAAUACGUGAUUGUUUUGACGUUACCGACAGAAUAAGCACCGGCUAACUCUGUGCCAGCAGCCGAGGUAAUACAGAGGGUGCAAGCGUUAAUCGGAAUUACUGGGCGUAAAGCGCGCGUAGGUGGUUUGUUAAGUUGGAUGUGAAAUCCCCGGGCUCAACCUGGGAACUACAUUCAAAACUGACUGACUAGAGUAUGGUAGAGGGUGGUGGAAUUUCCUGUGUAGCGGUGAAAUGCGUAGAUAUAGGAAGGAACACGAGUGGCGAAGGCGACCACCUGGACUAAUACUGACACUGAGGUGCGAAAGCGUGGGGAGCAAACA